UAAGUUGCAGGGUAUAGACCCGAAACCCGGUGAUCUAGCCAUGGGCAGGUUGAAGGUUGGGUAACACUAACUGGAGGACCGAACCGACUAAUGUUGAAAAAUUAGCGGAUGACCUGUGGCUGGGGGUGAAAGGCCAAUCAAACCGGGAGAUAGCUGGUUCUCCCCGAAAGCUAUUUAGGUAGCGCCUCGUGAACUCAUCUCCGGGGGUAGAGCACUGUUUCGGCUAGGGGGCCAUCCCGGCUUACCAACCCGAUGCAAACUGCGAAUACCGGAGAAUGUUAUCACGGGAGACACACGGCGGGUGCUAACGUCCGUCGUGAAGAGGGAAACAACCCAGACCGCCAGCUAAGGUCCCAAAGUCAUGGUUAAGUGGGAAACGAUGUGGGAAGGCCCAGACAGCCAGGAUGUUGGCUUAGAAGCAGCCAUCAUUUAAAGAAAGCGUAAUAGCUCACUGGUCGAGUCGGCCUGCGCGGAAGAUGUAACGGGGCUAAACCAUGCACCGAAGCUGCGGCAGCGAACGUAUCACCCAAGACAACUUUACGGAGUUAACGAUUGACGGAGCGAAGCGACGUCAAAGCGUUCAUUAAAGUCGAGUUGGCUUAGGGAUACGUUCGUUGGGUAGGGGAGCGUUCUGUAAGCCUGUGAAGGUGGCCUGUGAGGGUUGCUGGAGGUAUCAGAAGUGCGAAUGCUGACAUAAGUAACGAUAAAGCGGGUGAAAAGCCCGCUCGCCGGAAGACCAAGGGUUCCUGUCCAACGUUAAUCGGGGCAGGGUGAGUCGACCCCUAAGGCGAGGCCGAAAGGCGUAGUCGAUGGGAAACGGGUUAAUAUUCCCGUACUUGGUGUUACUGCGAAGGGGGGACGGAGAAGGCUAUGUUGGCCGGGCGACGGUUGUCCCGGUUUAAGCGUGUAGGUGUGUGUUCCAGGUAAAUCCGGUUCACUUUAACACUGAGGCGUGAUGACGAGGCACUACGGUGCUGAAGCAACAAAUGCCCUGCUUCCAGGAAAAGCCUCUAAGCAUCAGGUAACAUCAAAUCGUACCCCAAACCGACACAGGUGGUCAGGUAGAGAAUACCAAGGCGCUUGAGAGAACUCGGGUGAAGGAACUAGGCAAAAUGGUGCCGUAACUUCGGGAGAAGGCACGCUGACAUGUAGGUGAAGUGAUUUACUCAUGGAGCUGAAGUCAGUCGAAGAUACCAGCUGGCUGCAACUGUUUAUUAAAAACACAGCACUGUGCAAACACGAAAGUGGACGUAUACGGUGUGACGCCUGCCCGGUGCCGGAAGGUUAAUUGAUGGGGUCAGCGCAAGCGAAGCUCCUGAUCGAAGCCCCGGUAAACGGCGGCCGUAACUAUAACGGUCCUAAGGUAGCGAAAUUCCUUGUCGGGUAAGUUCCGACCUGCACGAAUGGCGUAAUGAUGGCCAGGCUGUCUCCACCCGAGACUCAGUGAAAUUGAACUCGCUGUGAAGAUGCAGUGUACCCGCGGCAAGACGGAAAGACCCCGUGAACCUUUACUAUAGCUUGACACUGAACAUUGAGCCUUGAUGUGUAGGAUAGGUGGGAGGCUUUGAAGUGUGGACGCCAGUCUGCAUGGAGCCGACCUUGAAAUACCACCCUUUAAUGUUUGAUGUUCUAACGUGGACCCGUAAUCCGGGUUGCGGACAGUGUCUGGUGGGUAGUUUGACUGGGGCGGUCUCCUCCUAAAGAGUAACGGAGGAGCACGAAGGUUGGCUAAUCCUGGUCGGACAUCAGGAGGUUAGUGCAAUGGCAUAAGCCAGCUUGACUGCGAGCGUGACGGCGCGAGCAGGUGCGAAAGCAGGUCAUAGUGAUCCGGUGGUUCUGAAUGGAAGGGCCAUCGCUCAACGGAUAAAAGGUACUCCGGGGAUAACAGGCUGAUACCGCCCAAGAGUUCAUAUCGACGGCGGUGUUUGGCACCUCGAUGUCGGCUCAUCACAUCCUGGGGCUGAAGUAGGUCCCAAGGGUAUGGCUGUUCGCCAUUUAAAGUGGUACGCGAGCUGGGUUUAGAACGUCGUGAGACAGUUCGGUCCCUAUCUGCCGUGGGCGCUGGAGAACUGAGGGGGGCUGCUCCUAGUACGAGAGGACCGGAGUGGACGCAUCACUGGUGUUCGGGUUGUCAUGCCAAUGGCACUGCCCGGUAGCUAAAUGCGGAAGAGAUAAGUGCUGAAAGCAUCUAAGCACGAAACUUGCCCCGA
Molecule: ribosomal RNA, 2210 nt
Filed under: Salmonella enterica subsp. enterica serovar Poona
Lineage: Bacteria; Pseudomonadati; Pseudomonadota; Gammaproteobacteria; Enterobacterales; Enterobacteriaceae
Description: partial 23S ribosomal RNA
Rfam family: Bacterial large subunit ribosomal RNA
Source: RNAcentral